This 253-nucleotide ribosomal RNA is filed under the name uncultured bacterium. RNAcentral describes it as "partial 16S ribosomal RNA". It matches the Rfam family "Bacterial small subunit ribosomal RNA", at positions 524 to 776 of the family's 1533-position model. The record is from RNAcentral.
UACAGAGGGGGCAAGCGUUAUUCGGAAUUAUUGGGCGUAAAGCGCGCGCAGGCGGUCCUUUAAGUCUGAUGUGAAAGCCCACGGCUCAACCGUGGAGGGUCAUUGGAAACUGGGGGACUUGAGUACAGAAGAGAAGAGUGGAAUUCCACGUGUAGCGGUGAAAUGCGUAGAGAUGUGGAGGAACACCAGUGGCGAAGGCGACUCUUUGGUCUGUAACUGACGCUGAGGCGCGAAAGCGUGGGGAGCAAACAGG